Molecule: ribosomal RNA, 253 nt
Filed under: uncultured bacterium
Lineage: Bacteria
Description: partial 16S ribosomal RNA
Rfam family: Bacterial small subunit ribosomal RNA
Source: RNAcentral
AACGUAGGAGACAAACGUUAUCCGGAGUUACUGGGCGUAAAGGGCGUGUAGGCGGUUUGUUAAGUCUGGCGUGAAAGCUCUCGGCUAAACCGGGAGAGGUCGUUGGAUACUGGCAAACUUGAGGACGGUAGAGGCGUGUGGAAUUCCGGGUGUAGUGGUGAAAUGCGUAGAGAUCCGGAGGACCACCAGUGGCGAAGGCGACACGCUGGGCCGUACCUGACGCUAAAGCGCGACAGCAUGGGGAGCAAACGGG